Molecule: ribosomal RNA, 1403 nt
Filed under: Escherichia coli
Lineage: Bacteria; Pseudomonadati; Pseudomonadota; Gammaproteobacteria; Enterobacterales; Enterobacteriaceae
Description: partial 23S ribosomal RNA
Rfam family: Bacterial large subunit ribosomal RNA
Source: RNAcentral
GGUUAAGCGACUAAGCGUACACGGUGGAUGCCCUGGCAGUCAGAGGCGAUGAAGGACGUGCUAAUCUGCGAUAAGCGUCGGUAAGGUGAUAUGAACCGUUAUAACCGGCGAUUUCCGAAUGGGGAAACCCAGUGUGUUUCGACACACUAUCAUUAACUGAAUCCAUAGGUUAAUGAGGCGAACCGGGGGAACUGAAACAUCUAAGUACCCCGAGGAAAAGAAAUCAACCGAGAUUCCCCCAGUAGCGGCGAGCGAACGGGGAGCAGCCCAGAGCCUGAAUCAGUGUGUGUGUUAGUGGAAGCGUCUGGAAAGGCGCGCGAUACAGGGUGACAGCCCCGUACACAAAAAUGCACAUAUUGUGAGCUCGAUGAGUAGGGCGGGACACGUGGUAUCCUGUCUGAAUAUGGGGGGACCAUCCUCCAAGGCUAAAUACUCCUGACUGACCGAUAGUGAACCAGUACCGUGAGGGAAAGGCGAAAAGAACCCCGGCGAGGGGAGUGAAAAAGAACCUGAAACCGUGUACGUACAAGCAGUGGGAGCCUCUUUUAUGGGGUGACUGCGUACCUUUUGUAUAAUGGGUCAGCGACUUAUAUUCUGUAGCAAGGUUAACCGAAUAGGGGAGCCGAAGGGAAACCGAGUCUUAACUGGGCGUUAAGUUGCAGGGUAUAGACCCGAAACCCGGUGAUCUAGCCAUGGGCAGGUUGAAGGUUGGGUAACACUAACUGGAGGACCGAACCGACUAAUGUUGAAAAAUUAGCGGAUGACUUGUGGCUGGGGGUGAAAGGCCAAUCAAACCGGGAGAUAGCUGGUUCUCCCCGAAAGCUAUUUAGGUAGCGCCUCGUGAAUUCAUCUCCGGGGGUAGAGCACUGUUUCGGCAAGGGGGUCAUCCCGACUUACCAACCCGAUGCAAACUGCGAAUACCGGAGAAUGUUAUCACGGGAGACACACGGCGGGUGCUAACGUCCGUCGUGAAGAGGGAAACAACCCAGACCGCCAGCUAAGGUCCCAAAGUCAUGGUUAAGUGGGAAACGAUGUGGGAAGGCCCAGACAGCCAGGAUGUUGGCUUAGAAGCAGCCAUCAUUUAAAGAAAGCGUAAUAGCUCACUGGUCGAGUCGGCCUGCGCGGAAGAUGUAACGGGGCUAAACCAUGCACCGAAGCUGCGGCAGCGACACUAUGUGUUGUUGGGUAGGGGAGCGUUCUGUAAGCCUGUGAAGGUGUGCUGUGAGGCAUGCUGGAGGUAUCAGAAGUGCGAAUGCUGACAUAAGUAACGAUAAAGCGGGUGAAAAGCCCGCUCGCCGGAAGACCAAGGGUUCCUGUCCAACGUUAAUCGGGGCAGGGUGAGUCGACCCCUAAGGCGAGGCCGAAAGGCGUAGUCGAUGGGAAACAGGUUAAUAUUCCUGUAC